GCGGCCGUGGCGGAAUUGGUAGACGCGCUAGCUUGAGGUGCUAGUGGGGCAACUCGUGGAGGUUCGAGUCCUCUCGGCCGCACCA
This 85-nucleotide transfer RNA is filed under the name Afipia sp. P52-10. RNAcentral's name for it is "tRNA-Leu". It matches the Rfam family "tRNA". Rfam says of the family: Transfer RNA (tRNA) molecules are approximately 80 nucleotides in length. The record is from RNAcentral. Lineage: Bacteria; Pseudomonadati; Pseudomonadota; Alphaproteobacteria; Hyphomicrobiales; Nitrobacteraceae. RNAcentral also lists the same sequence under 6 other names.